Molecule: long non-coding RNA, 739 nt
Filed under: Homo sapiens (human)
Lineage: Eukaryota; Metazoa; Chordata; Mammalia; Primates; Hominidae
Description: non-protein coding lnc-PRSS2-6:2
Source: RNAcentral
UGAGAGGCGCUGCUGGGCGUCUGGGCGGAGGACUCCUGGUUCUGGGUGCUGGGAGAGCGAUGGGGCUCUCAGCGGUGGGAAGGACCCGAGCUGAGUCUGGGACAGCAGAGCGGGCAGCACCGGUUUUUGUCCUGGGCCUCCAGGCUGUGAGCACAGAUACGCAGUAUUUUGGCCCAGGCACCCGGCUGACAGUGCUCGGUAGGACCUGAAAAACGUGUUCCCACCCAAGGUCGCUGUGUUUGAGCCAUCAGAAGCAGAGAUCUCCCACACCCAAAAGGCCACACUGGUGUGCCUGGCCACAGGCUUCUACCCCGACCACGUGGAGCUGAGCUGGUGGGUGAAUGGGAAGGAGGUGCACAGUGGGGUCAGCACAGACCCGCAGCGCGCCGAGAGUCUUACCAGCAAGGGGUCCUGUCUGCCACCAUCCUCUAUGAGAUCUUGCUAGGGAAGGCCACCUUGUAUGCCGUGCUGGUCAGUGCCCUCGUGCUGAUGGCCAUGGUCAAGAGAAAGGAUUCCAGAGGCUAGCUCCAAAACCAUCCCAGGUCAUUCUUCAUCCUCACCCAGGAUUCUCCUGUACCUGCUCCCAAUCUGUGUUCCUAAAAGUGAUUCUCACUCUGCUUCUCAUCUCCUACUUACAUGAAUACUUCUCUCUUUUUUCUGUUUCCCUGAAGAUUGAGCUCCCAACCCCCAAGUACGAAAUAGGCUAAACCAAUAAAAAAUUGUGUGUUGGGCCUGGUUG